This is a long non-coding RNA of Coregonus clupeaformis (lake whitefish), 1468 nucleotides long. RefSeq lists it as uncharacterized. The record is from RefSeq and is a predicted model, not a curated record. The transcript is spliced from 3 exons. Lineage: Eukaryota; Metazoa; Chordata; Actinopteri; Salmoniformes; Salmonidae.
UGUUUCAACCUGUAACUCUAUUCUGCUUUGGUCUGUUUCAGACAUUGCAUGAAGUCCUGAAGAGCACGAAUGUGUGUGAAUGGUUUUGUCCCAGCCCAGCUCUAACACCCAACUUAAAUAAUUAACAUACCGAAUCACAGCGAUAGGCUAUGAUUUGUAAUUAGGUAUGGGCUGGGCUGGGCUGGAACAAAAGCUUAUACACACUCCUGCCAUUCAGAUCUGGAGCUGUCCACCAAUUUCAGUCAUUAUUCUGUACUAUGGGUACAAUUGGGGGGGGGUUAUUGAUAUAUAACGCAUGCUCCACUCUCAAGUUGAACUUGUUGACUGAUGCCAUGACGGCAGCUGCUAAGAAGGGAGCAGCUGUGAACCAGAAGACUGCAGCCAAGGCAGCACUGGUCCACGCCUGCCCUGUCUGUCGGAUGCAGACCCGAAGACAUUCAAGCAGCACUUUGAGAGCAAGCAUUCCAAGUCUUCAAUGGUUCCAGUACUGGUUGAUAUGCAGGUCUAAGGACCUACAGUUGGGACACACGAUGACCACGAUUUGAAUGCUGCAACUGAGACGGAAUGACAUCAAGGGACACAUGCUGAGACCCCGAGAAUGACUGGACAUGGGCCUGAAAGGGCUGCAGAAGCACACCAGCACCCCAUGUUAUGUUUAUUCCAUGGCCAACCAUCUCUCUAGUUAACCCUUAUUCCACACUAUGCCUUUUAUGGUCCCUCAACUUCCGACACUUUGGAACUCUCCAUCUUAUCUCUAUAAACUCAGCCUACCUUCACCCAAUUUCCCUAUGCUGCCAGUGCUUCCUUCACUUGUUCUUCUCCUGAUUUGAUAACAUCUAGACUCAGUAACACGUUUAAAAGUGUUGUGGUGUACUGUUUUUACUACCUUUUUUUCAUAUGUAAUGCUGUCCUCCUGCGUAUUCUGGGGUUCAGACUGAAUGCAGUGGUAAAUGUGCUGCUCACAAUUGACAGCAGCAACAUGGACCUGUUAAAUCGACAAGAAGGGUGUUGAUAUAGCUGGGUUUAGGCAUGGCUUACUUGUAUUGAGUCUGUUAAGUGUGUUUCUCAUUCUGCUGGAGUUGGCGUAGGUUUUAUAUCAAAUACUAUUUAAAGCAUCCAGUUUUUCCAUUUGUAACUUGCCCACCAAAAUCACAAUAUGCUGUUUUACACUGUUGUUUGUGCUGGUCUAAUUCCUAAAAUGGAAAAGCAGAAGAAUCUGUGCUCUUGGAUAGUAAUAAUAGUUCAUAUGGUGCUCUUCAAUGUCCCAGGUAUGUGGCAUUGAUGACUAAAUAAUGUAAUGUUUACUUAAAUUCAUAGGUUUAUAUGUUAUGUAUAAAAUGCAGAUGUAUGCAUUGUUUACUAUUUUGAUUUCUUUAAAACAAUGUAAUUGUUGGAGUUCAGGUGUUUGAGGUGAUUGAUGGGUGACUAGGUGCAUUGUCAAAUAAACAUGCUUAUUCAUGAUAAUGGA